RNAcentral lists this transfer RNA (73 nucleotides) under Cavia porcellus (domestic guinea pig). It matches the Rfam family "tRNA". From Rfam's summary of the family: Transfer RNA (tRNA) molecules are approximately 80 nucleotides in length. Their secondary structure includes four short double-helical elements and three loops (D, anti-codon, and T loops). The record is from Rfam by way of RNAcentral. Lineage: Eukaryota; Metazoa; Chordata; Mammalia; Rodentia; Caviidae.
GCGGGUUUAGCUCAGUGGCAUAAGCGCCUGCCUUGAAAGCAGGCAGUCGUGAGUUCGAUCCUCGGUACCGAUA